This 506-nucleotide ribosomal RNA is filed under the name uncultured bacterium. RNAcentral describes it as "partial 16S ribosomal RNA". It matches the Rfam family "Bacterial small subunit ribosomal RNA", at positions 29 to 523 of the family's 1533-position model. The record is from RNAcentral.
AGUGAACGCUGGCGGUAGGCCUAACACAUGCAAGUCGAACGGCAGCACAGAGGAGCUUGCUCCUUGGGUGGCGAGUGGCGGACGGGUGAGGAAUACAUCGGAAUCUACUCUGUCGUGGGGGAUAACGUAGGGAAACUUACGCUAAUACCGCAUACGACCUACGGGUGAAAGCAGGGGAUCUUCGGACCUUGCGCGAUUGAAUGAGCCGAUGUCGGAUUAGCUAGUCGGCGGGGUAAAGGCCCACCAAGGCGACGAUCCGUAGCUGGUCUGAGAGGAUGAUCAGCCACACUGGAACUGAGACACGGUCCAGACUCCUACGGGAGGCAGCAGUGGGGAAUAUUGGACAAUGGGCGCAAGCCUGAUCCAGCCAUACCGCGUGGGUGAAGAAGGCCUUCGGGUCGUAAAGCCCUUUUGUUGGGAAAGAAAUCCAGCUGGCUAAUACCCGGUUGGGAUGACGGUACCCAAAGAAUAAGCACCGGCUAACUUCGUGCCAGCAGCCGCCGCAG